RNAcentral lists this ribosomal RNA (424 nucleotides) under Verrucomicrobiota bacterium. RNAcentral's name for it is "Verrucomicrobia bacterium partial 16S ribosomal RNA". It matches the Rfam family "Bacterial small subunit ribosomal RNA", at positions 355 to 776 of the family's 1533-position model. Lineage: Bacteria; Pseudomonadati; Verrucomicrobiota. The record is from RNAcentral.
UGAGGAAUAUUGGUCAAUGGGCGAGAGCCUGAACCAGCCAAGUAGCGUGCAGGAUGACGGCCCUAUGGGUUGUAAACUGCUUUUAUGUGGGGAUAAAGUGCGUGACGUGUCAUGCAUUGCAGGUACCACAUGAAUAAGGACCGGCUAAUUCCGUGCCAGCAGCCGCGGUAAUACGGAAGGUCCGGGCGUUAUCCGGAUUUAUUGGGUUUAAAGGGAGCGUAGGCUGUCUAUUAAGCGUGUUGUGAAAUAUACCGGCUCAACCGGUGGCUUGCAGCGCGAACUGGUCGACUUGAGUAUGCAGGAAGUAGGCGGAAUUCAUGGUGUAGCGGUGAAAUGCUUAGAUAUCAUGACGAACUCCGAUUGCGAAGGCAGCUUACGGGAGUGUUACUGACGCUUAAGCUCGAAGGUGCGGGUAUCGAACAGG